UACGGGGGGGGCAAGCGUUGUUCGGAAUUACUGGGCGUAAAGGGCUCGUAGGCGGCCAACUAAGUCGGAUGUGAAAUCCCCAGGCUUAACCUGGGAACUGCAUCCGAUACUGGAUGGCUUGAAUCCGGGAGAGGGAUGCAGAAUUCCAGGUGUAGCGGUGAGAUGCGUAGAUAUCUGGAGGAACACCGGUGGCGAAGGCGGCAUCCUGGACCGACACUGACGCUGAGGCGCGAAAGCUAGGGUAGCAAACGGG
Molecule: ribosomal RNA, 253 nt
Filed under: uncultured bacterium
Lineage: Bacteria
Description: partial 16S ribosomal RNA
Rfam family: Bacterial small subunit ribosomal RNA
Source: RNAcentral